Molecule: ribosomal RNA, 254 nt
Filed under: uncultured bacterium
Lineage: Bacteria
Description: partial 16S ribosomal RNA
Rfam family: Bacterial small subunit ribosomal RNA
Source: RNAcentral
UACGGGGGGAGCAAGCGUUGUUCGGAUUUACUGGGCGUAAAGGGCGCGUAGGCGGCCAGCACAAGUCAGUUGUGAAAUCUCCGAGCUUAACUCGGAAAGGUCAACUGAUACUGUGCGGCUAGAGUGCAGAAGGGGCAACUGGAAUUCUUGGUGUAGCGGUGAAAUGCGUAGAUAUCAAGAGGAACACCUGCGGCGAAGGCGGCAUCCUGGACCAACACUGACACUGAGGAGCGAAAGCCAGGGGAGCAAACGGG